AGAACGAACGCUGGCGGCAUGCCUAAUACAUGCAAGUCGAACGAAGGCUUCGGCCUUAGUGGCGCACGGGUGCGUAACGCGUGGGAAUCUGCCCCUUGGUUCGGAAUAACAGUUGGAAACGACUGCUAAUACCGGAUGAUGACGAAAGUCCAAAGAUUUAUCGCCAAGGGAUGAGCCCGCGUAGGAUUAGCUAGUUGGUGAGGUAAAGGCUCACCAAGGCGACGAUCCUUAGCUGGUCUGAGAGGAUGAUCAGCCACACUGGGACUGAGACACGGCCCAGACUCCUACGGGAGGCAGCAGUAGGGAAUAUGGACAAUGGGCGAAGGCCUGAUCAGCAAUGCCGCGUGAGUGAUGAAGGCCUUAGGUUGUAAAGCUUCUUUUACCGAGUACUGAUAAUUGACAGUAGUCGGAAGAACUAACG
This 421-nucleotide ribosomal RNA is filed under the name uncultured soil bacterium. Its description in RNAcentral is "bacterial SSU rRNA". It matches the Rfam family "Bacterial small subunit ribosomal RNA", at positions 26 to 492 of the family's 1533-position model. The record is from RNAcentral.